ACGCUCUUGCCACGCCUCCAAUUUUUUUUAAUAGGAAGGACCAGAAUGUUCUCUCUCCAGUCAACUGCUGGAACCUCCUCUUAAACCAGGUGAAGCGGGAGAGCAGGGAUCAUACCACCCUGAGUGACAUCUACCUGAAUAAUAUAAUUCCUCGAUUUGUUCAAGUCAGCGAGGACUCAGGAAGACUCUUUAAAAAGAGUAAAGAAGUUGGCCAGCAACUCCAGGAUGACUUGAUGAAGGUCCUGAACGAGCUUUAUUCGGU
This 262-nucleotide long non-coding RNA is filed under the name Rattus norvegicus (Norway rat). RNAcentral's name for it is "long non-coding RNA NONRATT008683". The record is from RNAcentral. Lineage: Eukaryota; Metazoa; Chordata; Mammalia; Rodentia; Muridae.